GUUGCCAGCGGUCCGGCCGGGAACUCAAAGGAGACUGCCAGUGAUAAACUGGAGGAAGGUGGGGAUGACGUCAAGUCAUCAUGGCCCUUACGACCAGGGCUACACACGUGCUACAAUGGCGCAUACAAAGAGAAGCGACCUCGCGAGAGCAAGCGGACCUCAUAAAGUGCGUCGUAGUCCGGAUUGGAGUCUGCAACUCGACUCCAUGAAGUCGGAAUCGCUAGUAAUCGUGGAUCAGAAUGCCACGGUGAAUACGUUCCCGGGCCUUGUACACACCGCCCGUCACACCAUGGGAGUGGGUUGCAAAAGAAGUAGGUAGCUUAACCUUCGGGAGGGCGCUUACCACUUUGUGAUUCAUGACUGGGGUGAAGUCGUAACAAGGUAACCGUAGGGGAACCUGCGGUUGGAUCAC
Molecule: ribosomal RNA, 412 nt
Filed under: Escherichia coli
Lineage: Bacteria; Pseudomonadati; Pseudomonadota; Gammaproteobacteria; Enterobacterales; Enterobacteriaceae
Also listed under: 2 other names
Description: bacterial SSU rRNA
Rfam family: Bacterial small subunit ribosomal RNA
Source: RNAcentral